GAACGCACCUUGCGCCCUUUGGACAUUCUGAAGGGCAUGCCUGUUUGAGUAUCAUGAACACCUCAACUCUUUAUGGUUUUCCAUGAUGAGCUUGGACUUUGGGGGUUUUGCUGGCCUACAGGUCAGCUCCUCUAAAAUAAAUCAGCUUACCAGUGUUUGCUGGGUAUCCUGGGUGUGAUAACUAUCUACGCUCGUGGUUUUCCAUCAGAUAACCUUCACAGCAGUGGAGGUUCACUGGAGCUCAUAGAUGUCUCUCCUCAGUGAGGACAGCCCUUUGAAUGUUUGAUCUCAAAUCAGGUAGGACUACCCGCUGAACUUA
This 319-nucleotide unclassified non-coding RNA is filed under the name uncultured Tomentella. RNAcentral's name for it is "sequence contains 5.8S rRNA gene". The record is from RNAcentral. Lineage: Eukaryota; Fungi; Basidiomycota; Agaricomycetes; Thelephorales; Thelephoraceae.